RNAcentral lists this ribosomal RNA (545 nucleotides) under Rana amurensis. RNAcentral's name for it is "partial 16S ribosomal RNA". It matches the Rfam family "Bacterial large subunit ribosomal RNA", at positions 1829 to 2597 of the family's 2925-position model. Lineage: Eukaryota; Metazoa; Chordata; Amphibia; Anura; Ranidae. The record is from RNAcentral.
CGCUCUGAACAAAUCAUAAGAGGUCCAGCCUGCCCAGUGACAAAGUUCAACGGCCGCGGUACCCUGACCGUGCGAAGGUAGCAUAAUCACUUGUUCUUUAAAUAGGGACUUGUAUCAACGGCACUACGAAGGCUAUACUGUCUCCUUUUUCUAAUCAGUGAAACUGAUCUCCCCGUGAAGAAGCGGGGAUUAAAGUAUAAGACGAGAAGACCCCAUGGAGCUUUAAACUCACCAUGCACCUAUGUGCUCCUACACCCUUAAACACAAUAGGUCUACAUGUUAGUUUUAGGUUGGGGUACCACGGAGUAUAACUUAACCUCCAUAGCAAAUGGGCUAAUACCCUUAUCCACGAUACACAACUCUAAGAAUUAUUAAACUAAUGCUUACGACCCGAUAUUCGAUCAAUGAACUAAGUACCCUGGGGAUAACAGCCAAUCUACUUCAACAGCGCAUAUCGACAAGUAGGUUACGACCUCGAUGUCGGCAUCAGGGUAUCCUGGUGGUCAGCGGCACCAACGGUUCGUUUGUUCAACGAUUAAAACCCU